Molecule: small RNA, 29 nt
Filed under: Bombyx mori (domestic silkworm)
Lineage: Eukaryota; Metazoa; Arthropoda; Insecta; Lepidoptera; Bombycidae
Description: ovarian small RNA-26004
Source: RNAcentral
UCAUAUUGGGUCUUACCUUCAGCAAAAGG